This 72-nucleotide transfer RNA is filed under the name Ictidomys tridecemlineatus (thirteen-lined ground squirrel). RNAcentral's name for it is "Spermophilus tridecemlineatus (thirteen-lined ground squirrel) tRNA". It matches the Rfam family "tRNA". From Rfam's summary of the family: Transfer RNA (tRNA) molecules are approximately 80 nucleotides in length. Their secondary structure includes four short double-helical elements and three loops (D, anti-codon, and T loops). The record is from Rfam by way of RNAcentral. Lineage: Eukaryota; Metazoa; Chordata; Mammalia; Rodentia; Sciuridae.
GGUGUUGUGGCUCAGCAGCAGAGCACUUGUCUAACAUGUGCAAGGCCCUGAGUUCAAUCCUCAGCACCACAU